RNAcentral lists this ribosomal RNA (468 nucleotides) under uncultured bacterium. Its description in RNAcentral is "partial 16S ribosomal RNA". It matches the Rfam family "Bacterial small subunit ribosomal RNA", at positions 28 to 507 of the family's 1533-position model. The record is from RNAcentral.
GACGAACGCUGGCGGCGUGCCUAAUACAUGCAAGUCGAACGGAAAGGCCCUGUUCUUGUGCGGUGCUCGAGAGGCGCACGCGUGAGUAUCACGUGAGUAAACUGCCCCUGUCUUUGGGAUACCAUCAGGAAAAUGGGGCUCAUAUCGGACAUGAGCUCCUGAAGCAUGGUGGGGGAUGGAAAGUUUCGGCGGUUCGGGAUGGACGUGCGGCUUAUCAGCUUGUUGGUGGGGUAGUGGCGUAACAAUGCUUUGACGGGUAGCCGGCCUGAGAGGGUGACCGGGCACAAUGGGACUGGGAAGCGGCCCGGACUGCAACGUGAGGCAGCGGUGGAGAAUAUUGCGCGAUGGGCGGAGGCCGGAAACAGCAAUGUCGGGUGCGAAAUGACGGCUUGCGGGGUAGAAACCGCUUUCGCCUGGAAAGAAGCGUGAGUGACGGUAAUGAGUAAGGAAGCAACGGCUAACUACGUG